RNAcentral lists this long non-coding RNA (1230 nucleotides) under Brassica napus (rape). RNAcentral's name for it is "long non-coding RNA (BNAP_LNC012788)". The record is from RNAcentral. Lineage: Eukaryota; Viridiplantae; Streptophyta; Magnoliopsida; Brassicales; Brassicaceae.
CCCCCAUAUGAUUCGGGCUUAGAUACAGUACAACAAAUCCGAGAAAAUCUUAAAUUUCACAAACAAAACCCUUCCAUCAGGACCAAAAUAUUCAUCAUAAUUCAUCCAUGUUUUUUUCAUAAACUGUAGUAUAAAUUAUUUGUGUAUUUAUAGAAGCUUUACCCAAAAUACUAUUUAUCGUACAACAUUCAUCUUACCGAAAGUAACGCCCAACCAAAGCAGUUGACUCGUUGUAUCUCUCUCUCUCUCUUUGUAGUCUCUACUACGACUCCACGUCUCUUCCUGAUCUUCUACACACCUAAUAGUACCCCCAGAUUUGACUUUAUUUACCAUUCUACCUUUCCUUCACCACCCUCCUUUAUCAUCUUCCUUCACCUCUCUCUUUCCCCCUUUCCGUACAACACAACAAUGGCGAGAGGCUCUUCCCAGUCCCAACAAUCAACCUCCACCGCUUCCUCAACCGCCAGGCCCGGUCUGGCCGCUCCCCGUGGAUCCGCCGCCGCUACGGCGGGCAUUCACGUCUUCGGAAAACUCUACCUCCACAAGUCCGGAUCCAAAGCUUAGAUCCGGAUCCGGAUCUCUUCUUCCCUAUGUUGAAUCAGUGGUCUCUCUUGUUUCUUUUUACUUGUGUUCUUUUUUGGUUUCUUGUUUCUUGAAUCUUGAUGAUCCGUGUACAACCGCUUAACUUUGAAUAAAACAUGUUUACUUACGAAUAGAUUAACCCAUUGGCAUUAGUCAACUGAGAUUACAUUUCUGAUGGAAAAUUUGUGUUUUACCUAAAUAAACAUUUUUUUACAGAAAUAAACAUUCAAAUCAACAAAGUACAUGAAUAAUUCAAAAAGAAUACAUGGAAACAAGCUUUAGAUGACAAAAGCAUACAUAUAGGUAUUUGAAGUUUUGGAAGCUUGGGAAAAACAAGACUAUUACGGUGGCACAUGUAGCUGUUCCGGUCAACAAGUUGAUGAAGUAAACUUUGCGGAGAGUGGCGCAACGACUUUUUGUGCGAGAUUAAUAGUCAACUCUGAGUGAGAUUCAUGCAUAUGAAAUGAAUGGUGCCUUCAGUCCACGGUUUAAUGUGUUUAUACCAUCUCUACCACCAAGUUUGGACUACACAUACCGUGUCUUAGCAGUUCCAGCAACACACUUAUUCAUUAUCAAUUCAAGAUGAUGUUCUAAUUGAUUUUGUGAUGUAUGCAACUCUGCCGUGAGUACCUCGACGUCUCUUUCCGU